Molecule: ribosomal RNA, 795 nt
Filed under: uncultured bacterium
Lineage: Bacteria
Description: bacterial SSU rRNA
Rfam family: Bacterial small subunit ribosomal RNA
Source: RNAcentral
AGAGUUUGAUCCUGGCUCAGAUUGAACGCUGGCGGCAUGCUUUACACAUGCAAGUCGAACGGCAGCAUGGGUGCUUGCACCUGAUGGCGAGUGGCGGACGGGUGAGUAAUGCAUCGGGACGUGUCUGUAAGAGGGGGAUAACUGUUCGAAAGAACAGCUAAUACCGCAUAAUAUCCGAGGAAGAAAGCUGGGGACCUUAGGGCCUGGCGCUUACGGGGCGACCGAUGUCUGAUUAGCUAGUUGGUGGGGUAAAAGCCUACCAAGGCGACGAUCAGUAGCUGGUCUGAGAGGACGACCAGCCACACUGGGACUGAGAAACGGCCCAGACUCCUACGGGAGGCAGCAGUGGGGAAUUUUGGACAAUGGGGGCAACCCUGAUCCAGCAAUGCCGCGUGUCUGAAGAAGGCCUUCGGGUUGUAAAGGACUUUUGUUGGGGAGCAAGGUGCACAGGUUAAGAGCUAGUGUACUUGAGAGUACCCAAAGAAUAAGGACCGGCUAACUACGUGCCAGCAGCCGCGGUAAUACGUAGGGUCCAAGCGUUAAUCGGAAUUACUGGGCGUAAAGAGUGCGCAGGCGGCUUUGUAAGCUUGAUGUGAAAUCCCCGGGCUCAACCUGGGAACUGCAUUGAGGACUGCAAGGCUAGAGUGUAGCAGAGGGGGGUAGAAUUCCACGUGUAGCAGUGAAAUGCGUAGAGAUGUGGAGGAAUACCGAUGGCGAAGGCAGCCCCCUGGGUUAACACUGACGCUCAUGCACGAAAGCGUGGGGAGCAAACAGGAUUAGAUACCCUGGUAGUCC